GAAUAUGAAGCGAUACAUUGCAAUUAGUUUCGACCUAAUCUUAGGUAAUUUUAUACCCUUAUUCU
This 65-nucleotide transfer RNA is filed under the name Aldrichina grahami. RNAcentral describes it as "tRNA-Arg". Lineage: Eukaryota; Metazoa; Arthropoda; Insecta; Diptera; Calliphoridae. The record is from RNAcentral. RNAcentral also lists the same sequence under 1 other name.